This 454-nucleotide ribosomal RNA is filed under the name uncultured Sphingobacteriales bacterium. RNAcentral's name for it is "bacterial SSU rRNA". It matches the Rfam family "Bacterial small subunit ribosomal RNA", at positions 927 to 1382 of the family's 1533-position model. The record is from RNAcentral. Lineage: Bacteria; Pseudomonadati; Bacteroidota; Sphingobacteriia; Sphingobacteriales.
AAGCGGAGGAACAUGUGGUUAAUUCGAUGAUACGCGAGGAACCUUACCUGGGCUUAAAUGUAGAGUGCAUUUUUUAGAGAUAGAAAUUCCCUUCGGGGCUUUCUGCAAGGUGCUGCAUGGUUGUCGUCAGCUCGUGCCGUGAGGUGUCGGGUUAAGUCCCAUAACGAGCGCAACCCUUAUCGUUAGUUGCCAGCUGGUAAAGCAGGGGACUCUAGCGAAACUGCCACCGUAAGGUGAGAGGAAGGUGGGGAUGACGUCAAAUCAGCACGGCCCUUAUGUCCAGGGCUACACACGUGUUACAAUGGGCGAGACAGAGCGACGCGAAGCCGCGAGGUGGAGCAAAUCGCAGAAAAUCGCCCUCAGUUCGGAUUGGAGUCUGAAACCCGACUCCAUGAAGGUGGAAUCGCUAGUAAUCGCGCAUCAGCAUGGCGCGGUGAAUACGUUCCCGGGCCUU